AAAAGAACAAGUAAGAUAAUUUCCCUUUCACCGAUACAUUAGGGUUUGAACUUUCAACUUUCAAUUAUUGCUGUCUUUCACCGAAUAGUCGCCAAGCACAGCAAUUUUUCUCAGUACCUCGUUUUUUUCUCAUUUGACCAGCAUCUGUAUCUCUCUAUCUCUCUCUCUCUAUCUCUCUCUGGUACUAUGCUCUUCAGCUAAUAUCAAUCUUAGCUACAAUGUCUCAUUGUGCAGAUAAGCUUUAUCCUUCUAUCUUGAAGAUUGUACUUGAUUCUGGAGUACUUGCAUAUCGAUGAUUUCUUGAGAUGUGGAAUCACCUGUUGUAGCUUUUAUUGAAAGCCAACACAAUUGAUUUUGGUAAGUUUUAUAGAAAAUAGCUAAAACGGGUUCACUGUGUUGUGUGGCUGCAAGGCCACAUGGUUCAAGUGCGACCAGUGGGGAUUGGUCCAUGGGUCAGCAUGAGAGUUGCUGGCAAAAUAAUACAAACUUCUCAUCACCCCCAUCAAGAUGGGAUUUUAGUUUCCCGUCUGAAGAGCUGCCAUAUGAAUCACCUGAAGCUACCCCACUAUUUAGGUCCUCAACAUCAUCAAACCAGAAGGAAUAUAGAUGGAUGAGAGGCAAUAAUCACUGUUCUGCAUCUGGUAGUGCAGGCCUACUUUUGAGUAGUCCUGAUCUUUCUUCAGGUCCCCAAUGGAUGCCUCCAGUCAUGCAGGAAAUUAGUGCCAAUGUUUAUGAAACUGCAACAAGGAGAGGUCAAGUUUUGCAGCCAUUACCUUCUGCACCUUCUAUAGUGGGAACUUCUGGAAAUCCAGAGAGUAGGGGAUCUACUUCAUCCUUUUCAGAUAGCAGUGAGUCCGAUCCCACAUUCAAGUCAUGCCCAUCCAAUCAUUGUAACUCUUCCAGUCGCCGUUCUUUUUUCUCCAAACCAAUCCACCCUUUAUUUUUUCCUACCCAAGCUACUAGUGAAGCUUCUACAACCCCAGCUACUGGGUCUUUACGGUUUGAUGCUGCUACCCUUCGAAGAGAUAGCCGCCGUUUGACCAGUGCUAGCAGUAGCAUAGAUUUUUCAGAUAUUUCUGAACAAUUUGAAUCCGAAAAUUUAGAUCGAUUAUUUGAAUCCGAAAAUUUAGAUCGAUUGUGUAUUUCAUCUGAUAGUUUUAAAUGUGGAUUAUGUGAAAGGUUUCUUUCACAAAGAUCCCCAUGGAGUUCUCGGCAGAUUGUAAGUGGAGACAUGCCGGUUGCUGGAGUUCUUUCAUGUUGUCAUGUUUUUCAUGCAGACUGUUUGGAGCAGACAACACCCACGGCACAUAAAAACGACCCUCCUUGCCCUCUAUGUGUCAGAUCAGAUGAGGAAAAAUUCCCAGAGCUGCAAGUUUUUCCCAGGUUGAAGAAUCGUUUCUCAAGUAUUACACCAUCUUCUGAGUUUGGACCAUCUAGGCCCUGGGGCUUUGUGACAAAGGGGGAUUCUGUUGAAGGAGCAUUACAUGCACCCCAUCAGAAUACCAUGUUGCUGCUCAACAGGAACCGAAUGAGAAAGAAUCUUUUUUUGAAGGGGAACUCUGGAAAGGAAUUUCCAGGAAAGCUGAUGAAGAGUGGCUCGUAUUCUUCACAGCUGCUGAAUGGAAAGUCUGUUGAUUUUGGAACAGUUGGUUGCUCAAAUGCAACGGCUAAUCCAAGUGUGAAGAGAUGAUAUUAUUGCUUAGCUGUCUGGAUUGUGAGUGACGCCUUGCCUUCUCUUGUAGUUUCCUAAUUGAUUCGCUCAUGUUAGCUGGAUAGAUGCCUGGCAGUUGGCAAUGAGAAUGGGCAACCAGAUCCGAUCAGGGAAGACUAGAAUGUGUUUUUGAUCAUGAUGGAUACUACUUUUGUCAUGGUUAUGAUUCUCAAACUGGCUUCAACUGCCAUCUGAGGUGCAGGCUUGCCCUUGCACGAACGAUUUUGCCAGGCCUUAAUUGAUGGGUUCCUUGAACAUCGCAAAUUGGGUAUCCUCAAUCUGGCGUAGAGCAUUUAUCAUUUAAUCCAACUGUUGAACAGAUGUACCCAACGUAGGGAAGAGUGAAAGAAAAAAACAAAAGCACAUCCAAGAAACUAUGAUCUUGUCUUUAAAAUUACUGAGAUUUUUUCAGUUAGAGUAGCAACGGGUGGUCGAGCGUCAACGGAGUUAGAUGUAUAUCGAAGACGAUAGAUUCCUUGUGAAAAUUAUGGCCUAGAGAAAACUGGAAUUGGACAACAAGAGGCCUCGUUUUGCAGUCUGGGAUCAAUUUUUUGUUUUGCAAAUUCUCGAGUUCUUACCAACUUGUAGAGCUCAAAGGUUUAAAGGCUACAUGUUAAAAUGAAAGGGCCUUCCUACUAUUCCUCAAAUGUGGUAAGCUGGUCCAAUCAGGGUUAAGAACAGUGGGUUUAUUUUUUAUCUUCCUAAAAUUCCUUGUCCUCGUAUAACCUACUUAAUCCUGGCUUUUGGGAGGAACAGUGCAAACUAGGGAUGGCAAAUAUUACU
Manihot esculenta (cassava) is the source of this 2494-nucleotide RNA transcript. RefSeq lists it as uncharacterized. NCBI's taxonomy places the organism in Eukaryota, Viridiplantae, Streptophyta, Magnoliopsida, Malpighiales, Euphorbiaceae. The transcript has 5 exons. The record is from RefSeq and is a predicted model, not a curated record.